This 76-nucleotide transfer RNA is filed under the name Rhodospirillales bacterium. RNAcentral's name for it is "tRNA-His". It matches the Rfam family "tRNA". Rfam says of the family: Transfer RNA (tRNA) molecules are approximately 80 nucleotides in length. Their secondary structure includes four short double-helical elements and three loops (D, anti-codon, and T loops). The record is from RNAcentral. Lineage: Bacteria; Pseudomonadati; Pseudomonadota; Alphaproteobacteria; Rhodospirillales.
GCGGACGUAGCUCAGCUGGUAGAGCGCCAGGUUGUGGUCUUGGAUGUCACGGGUUCGAGCCCCGUCGUUCGCCCCA